GCCUCAGUAACGGCGAGUGAAGCGGCAAAAGCUCAAAUUUGAAAUCUGGCUCUUUUAGGGUCCGAGUUGUAAUUUGUAGAAGAUGUUUCGGGUGUGGCUCCGGUUUAAGUUCUUUGGAAUAUUACAUCAUAGAGGGUGAGAAUCCCGUAUGUGACCGGCAGCCUUCGCCUAUGUGAAACUCUUUCGACGAGUCGAGUUGUUUGGGAAUGCAGCUCAAAAUGGGAGGUAUAUUUCUUCUAAAGCUAAAUAUUGGCCAGAGACCGAUAGCGCACAAGUAGAGUGAUCGAAAGAUGAAAAGCACUUUGGAAAGAGAGUUAAACAGUACGUGAAAUUGUUGAAAGGGAAGCGCUUGCAACCAGACUUGCACGCAGUUGAUCAUCCGGUGUUCUCACCGGGGCACUCUGCUGCGUUCAGGCCAGCAUCGGUUUUGGUGGUUGGAUAAAGGCCUUGGGAAUGUGGCUUCCUUCGGGGAGUGUUAUAGCCCUCGGUGCAAUGCAGCCUACCGGGACCGAGGACCGCGCUUCGGCUAGGAUGCUGGCGUAAUGGUUGUAAGCGACCCGUCUUGAAACACGGACCAAGGAGUCUAACAUCUAUGCGAGUGUUUGGGUGUUAAACCCAUACGCGUAAUGAAAGUGAACGGAGGUGAGAACCCUUAAGGGUGCAUCAUCGACCGGUCCUGAUGUCUUCGGAUGGAUCUGAGUAAGAGCAUAGCUGUUGGGACCCGAAAGAUGGUGAACUAUGCGUGAAUAGGGUGAAGCCAGAGGAAACUCUGGUGGAGGCUCGCAGCGGUUCUGACGUGCAAAUCGAUCGUCAAAUUUGCGCAUAGGGGCGAAAGACUUAUCGAACCAUUGAACACCUACUAGGUGGUUAAGAGGCCUUAGUACGGCCUAGUCCUCACCGAGGGCGACAUUGUCAAAUUGUUCGGGGACCUCCUGAUAACUCUCAGACUACCGCAGCCCGCCCGAAAGGGGGGUGCGCACCGGGCUAACGACCCUGGGGAUGGUAACAACGUCUGGGUAGGGAAGAUCCGCAGCCAAGUCCUACCGCCCUCCGGGGCCACGGAUGCAGUUCACAGACUUGAAGGCAGUGGGCUCCCCCGGGAGCUUAAGAUAAAGUCGAACCCCCCGGAGACGGGGUGGAGGGAGGAGAGUGCGUCGCACUCAGAGUCCUUCAGGGCCCACGUCCCGAGCAG
RNAcentral lists this ribosomal RNA (1192 nucleotides) under Rhytismatales sp. RNAcentral's name for it is "partial large subunit ribosomal RNA". It matches the Rfam family "Eukaryotic large subunit ribosomal RNA", at positions 77 to 1447 of the family's 3401-position model. The record is from RNAcentral. Lineage: Eukaryota; Fungi; Ascomycota; Leotiomycetes; Rhytismatales.